This is a long non-coding RNA of Homo sapiens (human), 796 nucleotides long. Ensembl annotates it as DHCR24 divergent transcript. Its record names the gene DHCR24-DT. NCBI's taxonomy places the organism in Eukaryota, Metazoa, Chordata, Mammalia, Primates, Hominidae. The record is from Ensembl.
GGGUGCCAGGGACUGGGUGCCGGUGGGGUCCGCUGCGAAUACUGGGGGUGGGCAGUUGGGACUCAGGGCCCCAGGCCCUCGGGGCUGCGGGGCCGCCUCUUCCAAACGCGCCUUAAGCGGUUUUGCAGUGGCUUUCCGCCGGAGGGCUGGGAGGCGCCCCGGCCCUGAGUCAGUCACCCUUUGGCCGGACAGGCGGUUCCCGGGCGCGGAGGAUGGAAACCUGGCGGUAACCUCUGCAGGUCGUGCCACUCGGUGUGCGCAAGGUCUCCAGAGGCAUCUUUUCAUUUUUAGGGGGCACUUUCCACGAAUUCAUUUGAGCUACACAGCAGUCCUGGGCAGUGGGGAGUGGUGAGCUCCAUUGUGUACACUUGGAAGCAGCCCAGAAAGCUUCUAGCACGGUGCUUUGUGCACAGUAAACACUCCAGCGGCUGUUGACCAAUGAAUGAAUGAAGAUUGUAGGCUCAAAUAUUCAAGUUAUCAAAGUGCAAAGAAUGAGAGGUUGUUUGCACUGGACUUCAAAAAUAAAUAGCCUGGACCUGUACUGUCUUACACAACAGCUAUGAGCUACUGGUGGCUACUAGAAAAUUUAAAAUUACAGAUUUGUCUUGUAUUACAUCUCUAGAAGCUCCAACCAACAGGGGGACAGUGAAGUAUGAAGAGGAAAGCCAAUGUGAAAAAUGCCUCUCCCCGAUUCUGUCUGACUCUGUUAAAGAGGGCUUUGCUUUAGAAGCUUAACCAUUCUGAUUAUUUUGGGGGUGUGAGGUAAUCUGGAAAGUAAAAUUUACCUAAAAAUUAA